UACUGUCUUAGUGGCGGACGGGUGAGUAACGCGUGGGCAACCUGCCCUGUACCGGGGGAUAACACUUAGAAAUAGGUGCUAAUACCGCAUAAUAGGGAAUACCGCAUGGUAAUCCUUUGAAAACUCCGGUGGUACAGGAUGGGCCCGCGUCUGAUUAGCCAGUUGGCGGGGUAACGGCCCACCAAAGCGACGAUCAGCAGCCGGCCUGAGAGGGUGGACGGCCACACUGGGACUGAGACACGGCCCAGACUCCUACGGGAGGCAGCAG
This 268-nucleotide ribosomal RNA is filed under the name uncultured bacterium. RNAcentral's name for it is "partial 16S ribosomal RNA". It matches the Rfam family "Bacterial small subunit ribosomal RNA", at positions 85 to 354 of the family's 1533-position model. The record is from RNAcentral.